This 279-nucleotide ribosomal RNA is filed under the name uncultured Thermovirga sp. RNAcentral describes it as "partial 16S ribosomal RNA". It matches the Rfam family "Bacterial small subunit ribosomal RNA", at positions 1100 to 1382 of the family's 1533-position model. Lineage: Bacteria; Thermotogati; Synergistota; Synergistia; Synergistales; Thermovirgaceae. The record is from RNAcentral.
AACCCCUGCAUUCAGUUGCCAACGGUAAGCGGGCAUCUGGAUGGACUGCCGGCGACAAGCCGGAGGAAGGUGGGGAUGACGUCAAGUCAUCAUGGCCCUUAUGUCCAGGGCGACACACGUGCUACAAUGGCCGGCACAGCGGGAAGCGAGGGGCGACCUUGAGCGGAUCCCUCAAAGCCGGUCUCAGUUCGGAUUGCAGUCUGCAACUCGACUGCAUGAAGUUGGAAUCGCUAGUAAUCGUGGAUCAGCCAAGCCGCGGUGAAUACGUUCCCGGGCCUU